UAGAUUGGGAUGAAGCACAAUAAUAUAAUCCAACACUUGAUCUGAGACAUUGUCGAGUGAUGCUAAAAUAUACUGCUUCUGAAUCUGC
Molecule: small nucleolar RNA, 88 nt
Organism: Corylus avellana
Lineage: Eukaryota; Viridiplantae; Streptophyta; Magnoliopsida; Fagales; Betulaceae
Product: small nucleolar RNA snoR31
Source: RefSeq, a predicted model, not a curated record